GUCCCUGUGGCUCAGUUGGUAGAGCAUGGUGUGUGCAACGCCAGGGUUGUGGGUUUGAUUCCCACGGGGGGCC
RNAcentral lists this transfer RNA (73 nucleotides) under Salmo salar (Atlantic salmon). It matches the Rfam family "tRNA". From Rfam's summary of the family: Transfer RNA (tRNA) molecules are approximately 80 nucleotides in length. Their secondary structure includes four short double-helical elements and three loops (D, anti-codon, and T loops). The record is from Rfam by way of RNAcentral. RNAcentral also lists the same sequence under 1 other name. Lineage: Eukaryota; Metazoa; Chordata; Actinopteri; Salmoniformes; Salmonidae.